This 197-nucleotide unclassified non-coding RNA is filed under the name plant metagenome. RNAcentral's name for it is "partial contains small subunit ribosomal RNA, internal transcribed spacer 1, and 5.8S ribosomal RNA". The record is from RNAcentral.
UCUCCGUUGGUGAACCAGCGGAGGGAUCACUACCGAGUGCAAACUCAUAACCCUUUGUGAACCUAUAUCUGUUGCUUCGGCGGCUCGCUCUCGGGCGAGCCCGCCGGUAAUAUCAGUAUCUCUGUUUGAACCCGACGAUACUUCUGAGUGUUCUUAGCGAACAGUUAAAACUUUUAACAACGGAUCUCUUGGCUCUA